CUGUGGUAGGGAGGAUGGUGUUGCAGUGAAGGCACUGCGUUUAGGACUUGGGUGACCGGGGUCCAGCUCCUGCCUCUGCCCAAGGCUCCUUGUGUGACUGGGGUUGAAUCACAGAGUUGGAUACUUGAGUGCUUUGUGUGCUGAUUAGAUCACUCACCUGUCUUCCCUUCACCUUGUUCUUGCAGAGAGCAGCCUACUCUGUCUGUGCUUUCCUUCUGAGAUGCUUAGGCCUGUCGUGGUGCCAACCAGGUAUAUCUCCUUAGUUCUGCCCCAUACACUGGCAGCAGCCCGCCAAGGGAAUGAUGAAGGGUUGCCAAUGGAUGGAGGGGGAGAGGAGACAAGUAGCAGGGGAGGCAAGAAUUAAACCUAGGAAGUGGGUUGGACAAGGCAGAUAAGGCUGGGGUGGUGGGGAGGAGAUGGUGGCAGCUGGGCCCUGGCCUGUCAUUGAGAUGUUGAGACUGGGAGGCCCAGCUGCCAGCCAAUGGCAGGCUGGGGAGAGCUGCUGUGAGGGCCCUUUCUGGAGACCCAUCCAUGGGUCCAGCAGCCCAGUACUGCCUGUAAUUCGACAGUAGGUGGCACUGUGCUUCCAAGCUUCAGCUCCCAUCCUGAAGUUAAAAUUGAAACCCUGAGUCUAUGACUUUUCCCGUGCUUUGGAUGGGCUGGCCAGGGAGGGGUGGUUUCUUGGGGAAAGCCACCAGGGCUGGCUUGUUCAGCAAACAAAGAAUCCCCCAGUCCCAGGUUUUUGGCUUUUUGAUUCCCGUGGCUAGAGCAUGGCCCUUGAUGCAUGUGCUUCAUCACUUUCUGGGCAGAGGGAAUCCUGCAUCAGAAAUCACCUGCUAAAGCCUGUUCUCUCUGGUCUCCCAUGUGGCUUCAGCUCUCGGCUGGUAGCAGAAAGCCCAGCAGAAGUUUGCCUUGAGUUCCAACAUGGCAGAGCCCUGGCUUUAAUCCUCUGCCCUAGCAAACACAUUCAUCUUUCUUGCUACAAAUAAGGCAAACUGCAUGUGCUUUUCCAGGGCUGGUGAACAAUUGCUUUCUUCUCGCCUGGUGGCAGCCUUUUUUGCACUGUUGCAGGGUGCUUGGUCCUCAGAUUUCCAGGUGUUUUACCGGCUGGUGGUGUAGAUGGGUGAACUGAGACAUGAGGAGAUGCUGCCAUUGGUCAGUGACAGGAGGGAGUAGGGGAAGCCUGGUGUCCUGAGUUUGUUGUCUGCAUUGACCACAGACAGCAGCAGUGUCUGCCUUCUGGCAUGCUACCUGGGUACUGAUGUGUAACUUGCUGCACCUGCCUUUUGGUUGAGCAUGGUGAAACCUCUGUCUGUGGAGGUUGCCGGGAAUGGAUAGCAGGUACUGAGGGUUCCUGGCAUUGCAACUUGGACUUGGAACCAACUUGACUCGGUCCUUGCCAUGAAGAUCUCUGCAAGCCGCUGUCCUCAGGAAGGCCUUGUGCUCUGAAAUGUCUUGCUUAUGCCUCUCCUAAGAGCUCAGCGUGGCCCUGUUCACUAUCAUUUCCCGUUGCCCUGAGGUUUGUGCAGCAGGCCGAGUGCACCAGCUAAUGCCUCCUGCCCCAGAGCUCGCUGCAACCUUUUAUAACCUUUCAUGACCUUUUAUGGUGGUAGAACAUUGGCUGCAGCAGUCUCCCAGCUUUACCUUUGGCAGGUUCGAAUGUGACAUCUGGUGUUGCGUCAAGGCUCAUUUCACCAAGAGGUUGGACAAUGGUUUAGUCUGGGGUGGUUUGGACAGGGCUGAUCCUGCAUGAGACAAGAUGUGACUUCUGGAGGUCCCUUUCAGCCCUGCUUGUCUAUGAGUCUGAUUCCAGCUUCACAGAGCUUUGGGGUGGGUGGACGCAGCUCAGCCAGCUUGUGCUGCCAUCGUGGCAUCGUAUCUGUACGUUGCUACACUGGAUCAGACCUAAUACAGCAUCCUGUGGCUAGUGCCAGAGGUAGCCCACCGGUCUGGUGCUGCGACUGGCUCUUCGUAAUGCCAUGUGCAUGACACAGAUCCAUCAGAAGCAGGCAGCAAAGUACUUGCUGGGCUCAGCUUGGUUGUCCUUGGCAGAGCCUCCUGCCUGGAGAAGAUGCAGCCACUUUACUAUAGUGAUGGGCUCUUCCUCUGGACUGCUGCCUGCUUAAGCAUCUCCUUAAUGACCACUAGCAAAUGUCUGUAGCCUCUGGCUUGCUUCUCCCUAGCUGUGGGACUUGCAGUGACAAUAUAGAGUCCUCUGGGGCACAGAUAGAGCUGCAUCAGCUUGUGACCAUGGAUCAGAGCAGUGGGCUCAACCUCUGGUCAGACAGGACUUGGAACUGGCCAUGCUGAGAAUACAGAUCCUCUAUGCCCAUCAGUGGGCUUUGUAUCUCUGUGACUUCAGAGUCACCCAAAGGUACCAGCUGAGCUGGGCGGCUGCUGGCUGCUCUCUGAACCUGAUCCGUUGCUCUGGUACGUUCCACUCGCUUGACUGCCAGCGGUGGGUUUGCAACUGAUGUAAACCAGUGUAACAGAGAGGAUCUGCAGGCAGGAGUCUGCUACAUGAGUGCUUUGCAGCUGCCCUUCUCCAGGGGCUGUGUGGGAUUUGGGAGCCUGCUGACAGCCAGGCUCUGCCAGGCUGGAAAUCCCAGCUCAGCUAACGAGUUGCAUUGCCCCAGCCUGGGCCUCUGUACAAACAGGCGGUCUCCUACCAUCGGGUGUUUGUGCUGGAUUGUUGCUUUCAAGUGGUUCAGAGCAGUGGGAUAUGGGGUGUUUCAGCUGGGCUGGCGUGGGCUCGAAGCCAAAGCGGGGGUCGGUGGUGAUUAUGGCCGAAUGAGGGCCGUUCAGUGCCUAAUGAUGCCAUGUCAGCUGUUAUUUAUGCUCUGAUUGGGUGCUGGGGGGGGGACAAGGGAAGCUGGCAAGUGUGAGAUGGAGGAAUGAUGGUAAUUUGAUUUUCUGCCUCAUAAAUCUCCACGAGCUGGGUAAACUUCAGCCUAAUUCUCAUCUCCUUUCCACCAAUGGUAACGCUCGCAAAUCCAGUCUAAUGCUUCGAUACUGCUGAUGCCUGGUAUUUCUUGCUUCAGAGCCACUUCUUUCCUAAUGCUAGUUCCUGCCCCAGUGGCUCUGCUUAGGAUUGCUUGGGUUUACACUGGGAAGCAGGAGUGUUUUGCUGCUUCAGUUCUCAAAGCAGAGGAUCUCCUUUGCAGCCACAAGUUAACACUCAGCUCCAAAUACUUCCCUCCUCAUUCCACAGCAGACAGUUUGGUCCGUAACAAGAAGCUGUCUCCUUUCCUCUGCUCUGCUGUGUACAGUAGUGGUAUCGGUGCCAUCGGGAGUUCCUGUGCAUUUGCAUAACUCUUACCUAAUUUAAGCAACAUGGAGAGAUGUGUGAAUGAAACAUGGGUCUCUGUGUUAGAUGGCUGGGAUUUGUGAUAGGACCAGACUGGUGAGCAGUGGGACUCCACCUCUUACCACUGACCUAAUGCUGUGGAUAGAUGGAGGAGAAACCCCCUGAAUGACCUUUUCUCAAUCAACUUGUGGUGUUGUGAGACAGAACCUUGGAAAAGCAGUUGGCUAGUACGAGGUGUUGACAGUUGGGCAGGAGAGGGCAGUGUUUUUCAUAGGGAAGGAAGACCUGUGGGUGUCCUGUCCUUCUGCGCUCGUGUUCGAGUGUUCUUCCUGACUCCACACUCAGAUCAGACUUGAGCCCCUGGGCCCUAUGCCAAACCGCCUGCCAUCAAAAUUGAUCCUGAUGGGGGAUGAAGUGGGAGAGGGUUGUAACAGACCCAUGAGCUGAGAGGGGAAAGGAGUGCCCAGAAGGCAGGUGAGGGGUUAAUUCUUUGAUGCUCAGAAGCUCAUCCUCUGCCCAGCUUUACCUGUCCUCCCCUACAGGUCCGUGGAGGCAAGCAUCCAGUUUCCCGGCCAUGUGAGCCAGACAGAAAUGCGUCUAGUAGAGAAGUAUUCAGAACGCGGAGACUGUGGAAAUCACAGGCUGGGUUCUGCUCUUUAUCACUGCCUCAAUGACCUGUUACGGAUGGAUUGGAGAGAGAAAGGGGUUGUGUGGAGCCAGCUGUGAUCUGGCAAGUCCUCGGAGGGAGAGAGGCAGCCAGCAGGGGAUACCAUAAAACAGCACUUCUGAUGUGCCAGCCUCCAGAUGUCUCCUCGAACAGCACAUGUGGAUCCAACCUGGUGGAAGGCUGAUUGAUCUCCAUCCCAGCUGCAGUGAUAUAGAUUGUUCAAGCAGAUGCUUGGGCAAAUGUGGAUGCGAGGUAUGGUGACUAGGUCAGAAAGGUGCUUCUCUCAACCUGUUUACUGAUCCGUCAUGAGAGGCAAAGCAGUGGGAGAGGACCACGUAGAGAUGGACUUGGUAAGAUGAGAGGACAAAUGAUUGUUUCCUGCAUCUCUUAUCUGAACUCACAGCUGUGCCUUGUCUUAGACUUUAUAUAUCACUUCUUGCUACUGUUCCACCCUGUAGAGGCAAAAUAAAAGUUAGUGG
This is a long non-coding RNA of Gavialis gangeticus (Gharial), 4453 nucleotides long. RefSeq lists it as uncharacterized. NCBI's taxonomy places the organism in Eukaryota, Metazoa, Chordata, Crocodylia, Gavialidae. The record is from RefSeq and is a predicted model, not a curated record. The transcript is spliced from 2 exons.